AAGCCAGCCCGUCCCCUCUCCCAGAGUGGGUGGCCCUGCCCCACUCUCCGAGUGGGUGGGGACAGUGGUUGCAUGGGCAGCUUUAGCAUUGUGAUGCCACAGGUCCCUCUGGACACACUGCUGCUUGACCACGCCUCCUUUCCCUCUCAUCUUUCUCAGUGACCAAUGGGCUUGGAACAUUAAGGCCACGCCCCUAUUCUGCAUUCUCCUGGGGCCCUGGUUACACCUCUCUGGCUCAGUCGCAUAGCUGCCAGGUAGGUAACUGGAGGCAUUCAGCAGUGCUUACUGGGAUUUUGCUGAUGUGGCCCCAACCCCGCCUCCCUCCCCACCUUGCGAUGUCAGAAAAAACACGACAGGAUAAAUGGGCUGCAGCCAAGCAAAAGCUGAAAGAGUAUCAGCAGAGGAACAGCCCUGGUGUUCCGGCAGGAGUGAAGACGAAGAAAAAAACUGGAAGUAGCCCUGAGACAACCACUUCUGGUGGUUGCCACUCACCUGAGGAUUCCUCCUCCAACUCAUCCUCUCUAUAUGCGCCUCAGAGCCGGUACCAAGAACUAGCAGUAGCCCUGGACUUAAACUCUGCGACAAUCAAUCACCUUAAUGAAAACAUAGAAUCAUUGAAACAGCAGAAGAAACAAGUGGAACAUCAGCUGGAAGAAGAAAAGAAAGCGAACAAUGAAAUACACAAAGCGCAAAUGGAGCAGUUAGAGACAAUCAACAUCCUCAUGUUGGAAAAGGCAAACUUGAAGACCACCCUUUACCAUACUAAACGUGCCGCCAGACACUUUGAAGAAGAGUCCAAGGAUCUGGCCAGCCGCCUGCAAUACUCCUUGCAGCGUACUCAAGAAUUGGAGUGGGCUCUCUCUGCUGUGUCUACACAGCAGCAGGAAGAGGACAGGAUGAGUCCAACCAGCUGUCCCUCCUCAAGCCGCAGUGAAGCAGUCCUCCAGCAGCAGUUACAGCAGUCCACAAAGGAGCGGGCACUGCUGACGCAGAUGACAGAGUCACUUAAACAAGUCCAGCUAGAGAGAGAUGAAUAUGCUCAACGUAUAACAGGAGAGAGGGCCCGGUGGCAGGAGAGGAUGUGGAAAAUGUCGGUGGAGGCUUGCACAUUGAAGGAGGAGAAGCGUGACAUACAUCGGAUACAGGAGCUGGAGAGGAGCUUGUCCGAACUCAAACCGCAGAUUGCUGAGCCCCUGUCCCCAGCACCCCCAGCAGGGACUUCUGAGGUGAAGCAGCUACAAGAUGAGGCCAGGCACCUGAGGAAGGAGGUGGAAAGUUUGGAGGGAAAGCUGCAAUCCCAGGUGGAAAACAAUCAGGCCUUGAGUCUCCUGAGCAAGGAACAAAAAGAGAGCUUUCAGGAUCAGGAGGAGAGGCUCUGAGAGCAGGAGGAGAGGAGGGUGCGGGAGCAGGAGAGGGUGCGGGAGCAGGAGAGACUGUGUGCGCAAAAGGAGAGGCUUCAGAAGCAGCAGGAGAGGCUGCGGGAGCAGGGUGAGAGGCUGCGAAAGCAGGAGGAGAGGCUGUGAAAGCAGGAGGAGAGGCUGUGGGAUCGGGGGAGAGGCUGUGGGAUCAGGAGGAGAGGCUGUGGAAUCAGGAGGAGGGGCUACGAAAGCAGGAGGAGAGGCUCGCGCUCUCCCAGAACCACACGCUCGACAAGCAGCUGGCCGAGCCACAUUGCAGCUUCGAGGAUCUGAACAAUGAGAACAAGAGCGCACUGCAGUUGGAGCAGCAAGUAAAGGAACUGCAGGAGAAGCUGGGCGAGGAGUGCCUAGAAGCUGCCAGCCAGCAGAACCAACAGCUAGAAACCCAGCUGAGCGUCAUGGCUCUCCCUGGAGAGGGAGAUGGAGGAGGACAUCUGGACAGUGAGGAGGAGGAGGCGCCUUGGCCCAUGCCAAGUAUCCCACAGGACCUGGAGAACCGGGAGGCCAUGAGCGGCUUUAUGGACCUCCCGAAGGAGAAGGUGGACGGGAAGGAGCAGGUGGAAAAACUAGAGCUUGGAUUCAUCCAGCUCUCUGAAGCAACAGACGGCAUGAGAGAGUACGUCACAGUAUAUGAGAGCCAAGGGGCAGUGCCAAACACGUGGCACCAGGAUAUGGAGGAUGUCAUUAGGCUGGCCCAGAACGAGAUGAAAGUGAAUAUGCUGGAACUGCUGAAGCUGGUGUUGCCGCUUAUGGGCGACCACGAGGGGCAUGGUAAAUUCUUCGCCACUCCCCAGAACCCUGCUGAUGAGCCCGCUCCAGGGGCUCCAGCCCCCGAGGAACUUGGGGCUGCUGGCAAGGAGGGUGAUUUUUAUGAGGUGAGCCUGGACAACAGCGUGGAGCCCGCACCAGGAGAGGCCAGGAAUGGUUCUCCCCAUGACAACCCCACUGCAGAGCAGAUCGUGCACCUGUUUCCUGUAAUGCAGGACACCCAGGAGCACCCAGGCUUGGCCACCAAACCCUGCAUGCCAUUCUUCUACCGGGCAUCCGAGAACAGGGAGAUAAACAUCAUCAUCAUCUAAGCGCUGGUCAAGAAAUUGAAAAACAACAACAACAAAAAGUUAUGGCGUUAAUCUCGUACACAAUUCAUUUACUUCAUCUGAAUGUUAGAGCCACUCCUGUUCAUUUGUGUUUCUAAUUUACAGUUUAAAUUUUUUUGUAGAAAAUUAGGGAGAGUGGAUCUUUCCCUGAUGUUCACUCUCGCAUCCUUUAGCAUUUUUGUUUUUUAAUUUGAUAAUUGUAAGUCGUUAGCUCGCAUAUCGAGUUUGCCUUUACCUGGUGGGAGUUCAAGCACACAAAGACCCACUAUUUGCGCAAAAUUAUUCUUGCUGGUUUGGAAUAGGCUGCCAUGGUUUUUAAAAUGUUUUUGCAGCAUGUAUGUUCAUUACAGAAUUCAGAUAAAAUUUGCUUAUGUUCUGAUAUUAUGUUUGAUCGAAUCCUAAUCACAGCGAGCUCUUCAUUAGCUCAAUAUAUGGUUUGCCCUCAAGUGCACACUGUUUAUUACUUUGUAAUAUGCCACUGUGAGUAGUGACGUUUACAGUUGUUUAAAGGCUGAGAACUGGAAGCAGCCUUUCCUCUAUUUUCUGUGUAUUGGGGAUGGGUGUAAUAACAUUUGGGGGAGCUUUUUAAAUCUCACAGAAGAGGAAAGUGGCCUGCUUUGGCAGGUGCGUGCAGGAUACAGUGUGUUUCCUUCGUUCUGGUGCCAAGAAUGAGCGCGGUACUAUGGUAGUUCCCUUAGGAUUUGUAUGUGCUCUGGGCUCAUGAAGAUAUUGCAUCAUGAGCUGUGGCCGUUGUACUCUUUCUCAAUGACCUAAAAAGGGAUUAUUUCUGAGGAGGGAAAGGCUCCCAUCAUUGACUGUGGAUAGGGAAAACCUUUUCUAGCUUAGCGCAAAUAUAUACAAUACAUUUUAAAAUCAGAGUCCACGUUACCUAUUUCAAUCACAUGACUACAGGUCCCAUCACACAAAAGGGCACUGGUUGGCAUUCUUCUUUAUGUAAUUAGUAAAGAUCAUAAGAAAUCCUUUCAGAGUUUAAAUGUCCCUGGAACAGGCAUACAGGCUUUAGUCAAGAAUGAAUUCUAGUGAAGGAAAGCUGUGUGACACCUGGCAUUCCUCUAUGUUCAUGGAGCUUUUUUGAGGCUAGAAUAUUGAUUUUACCAUCUAGACCUCUCUGGCUAAUACCUUUUCUUCAACCACAUAGGUUACUCUCACAUAGGAAUUUACUUCUUUUCCUUAAAUGGAAAACACUUAAAAAAUAACAACCAUUAUUAUAAACCAAUAUACGUGAGAGUACUUAGUUGAAACAAAAAGAAGUUUUAGUAGACAGUAUUCUACUACAUUUGAAAAUCAAGGAGAUGUUUAUGCAACUUAAAAUGUGUACAAACUGCAGUGCAAUCUACUGUUUGUGAAUGUCAGAGUAUUUUGAGGAAAAGUGUCUAUACAAUUACAGAGUUAUAUUUCCUCACAAAGUUCUUUAUGAAGAGUGAAAUAUGUUCUUAUACCUCUCAGUUUCAGUUAGAGGCAUAUUUUGUGUCAUACUUAUGUUCAUGUGCCUGUACAUGAUGAAUGAACUAUUUCAGUCAUACAUUGCCUAAAUAAUAACUUUAUGAUGCUUGGGAAAGAACAGCUAAAACUUCAUGAAGUUCUAAUGUCUCUGUUCCAAAAUACGUCACAGUAUUAGAAUGUAGGGAUACAUUAUUAGAAUGUAUGCGCACUCCCUGGGGUGGGCAUUUCUAGUUACUAGACCAUCUCCAUUUUUAGCAUUUGGCAUCCUCAUGACACUUUUAUAAAUAUGACAUUAAUAGGAGAGCAAUAAUACAAUUUUACUGUUGGAAUAACAGAUUUGCCUGCAUUCACUGAAAGAGUGCAAAUACUGGGUGCUUGUGACUUCAACUGACUUUUCCAAAUUGUAUGAAUUUAUCAGUUUUUUAGAUAAGUCCAGUUUGAGAAUGAUAAAGAAAAACUGUUAGACCAAAUAAUGUGGUUAAUUAACAGUGGUACAAUAUCUUGCCCGAGGGUUUAAAAUAGACUUGAGGUCCUGUUCUUACCUUCUAUUUUGUGAACUUGCCGCUUUUGCAUUAUUUGAGUUCACUUGAAAGACAGUUACUUUAAGUCCAUUUUAAACCCUCGGGCUAGAAAUCGUACCACUGUUAAUUAGCCACAUUAUUUGGUCUAACAGUUUUUCUUUAUCAUUCUGAAACUGGGUUUACCUAAUACAUUGAUAAAUUAUUUUGAAGGAAUUUUUAUAGUUCCAGUCACUUCACUUUUACCCUGACACAUAUAAAUGACUAGGAAUGACCUUCAGAUCGCAUUUAGCAUCUGUAACCAAUCUGACAAUAAUGUGUUCAUCAGGGACCUAUGGAUUAAAUCACAUACUGGCAUAUUUAAGCUGAAUAUCAGCCUGGAAAAUAAAUGUACUAUAUUAACUGAAAUACCACUCUUUGUGUAGGUAUUUUGUCAUAUGUUUAAGACAAAGCUAAAAAGAAUGGAAAUCAUAUCACAAUAACUUAAGUCUUUCUUCAAAGUGCAUGCAGUCUUUUGCAAUACCUCAUUCAGCAAGUAUUUGUUCUCUUCUUCAUUCAGUAUAAGGCAGCUUUCAAUUUGCUUAGAAGGCAACAUUAGAAGGUUAGAGUUCAUCAGAAAUACAUAAUUUUAAAAUGUGAGUUCAAACUGAAUAAAUGUGAAUUUCUGUAGGAAGUGAAGAAUCAAAAUAUCAAUUUAAAGACUGCAAUAUAUGAUAAUUAUUUUUAAAGUAUCUGGCUAAACCUGAUAGAUUUUCUGGAAAUGAAUAAAAUCAGUUCUAAAACCAAAGCUGAUUUUUAGAAAAUGUGAAAAUAUAAAUCAGCCCUAUCCAUAAUAGUUUCUCCAAAACUUUAUCUUACAGUUACUUUAAAAUAAUAUAACUAUUCAAAAAUGUAACUGCUAUGUUAAUGUUUUGAAAUAAGUUAAAGUAUUUUAAAAUAUGAAUACUGUAAUUUAAAACAAAGAAACUGGGGGAAGGAAAAGUAGAGAAAUAAAGUCCAAAGCUUUAUUUGCCAAGUUUUCUUAGAAUGACUUUUACCAAUUUAUGAAUUCUUAUUAACAGAAUGUAUAAUGGAAAUACUGAAAGACUUUUGUCUAAAGUGGCAUUAUUGACUGCUAUCAUGAUAUACUGUAAUGUAAUAAAUUAUGAAAUUGUUGCAAAGUGUU
Molecule: RNA transcript, 5662 nt
Organism: Cercocebus atys (sooty mangabey)
Lineage: Eukaryota; Metazoa; Chordata; Mammalia; Primates; Cercopithecidae
Gene name: putative golgin subfamily A member 6C
Exons: 18
Source: RefSeq, a predicted model, not a curated record